AGUUUGAUCCUGGCUCAGGAUGAACGCUAGCGGCAGGCUUAACACAUGCAAGUCGAGGGGCAGCGCGGGUAGCAAUACCUGGCGGCGACCGGCGGAAGGGUGCGUAACGCGUGAGCAACAUGCCCGUAAUCGGGGGAUAGUCAUUGGAAACGAUGCGUAAUACCCCAUAACCACCGAAGCUGCAUGGCUUUGGUGUAAAAGUCACGGCGAUUACGGAUUGGCUCGCGUGGCAUUAGCUAGUCGGCGGGGUAACGGCCCACCGAGGCGACGAUGCCUAGGGGUUCUGAGAGGAAGGCCCCCCACAUUGGGACUGAGACACGGCCCAAACUCCUACGGGAGGCAGCAGUGAGGAAUAUUGGUCAAUGGACGGAAGUCUGAACCAGCCAUGCCGCGUGAAGGAAGGCGGCCCUAUGGGUUGUAAACUUCUUUUGUAGUGGAGCAAUAAGGUCUACGCGUAGACCGAUGAGAGUACAUUACGAAUAAGCAUCGGCUAACUCCGUGCC
This 503-nucleotide ribosomal RNA is filed under the name uncultured organism. RNAcentral's name for it is "SSU rRNA". It matches the Rfam family "Bacterial small subunit ribosomal RNA", at positions 10 to 509 of the family's 1533-position model. The record is from RNAcentral.